This 252-nucleotide ribosomal RNA is filed under the name uncultured bacterium. Its description in RNAcentral is "partial 16S ribosomal RNA". It matches the Rfam family "Bacterial small subunit ribosomal RNA", at positions 524 to 776 of the family's 1533-position model. The record is from RNAcentral.
UACGUAGGGGGCAAGCGUUAUCCGGAAUCACUGGGCGUAAAGGGUGCGUAGGUGGUUCCUCAAGUCAGAAGUGAAAGGCAGUGGCUUAACCACUGUAAGCUUUUGAAACUGAGGAACUUGAGUGCAGGAGAGGUAAGUGGAAUUCCUAGUGUAGCGGUGAAAUGCGUAGAUAUUAGGAGGAACACCAGUGGCGAAGGCGACUUACUGGACUGUAACUGACACUGAGGCACGAAAGCGUGGGGAGCGAACAGG